This 72-nucleotide small RNA is filed under the name Leptolyngbya sp. 'hensonii'. RNAcentral's name for it is "Cyano-1 RNA". It matches the Rfam family "Cyano-1 RNA". Lineage: Bacteria; Bacillati; Cyanobacteriota; Cyanophyceae; Leptolyngbyales; Leptolyngbyaceae. The record is from Rfam by way of RNAcentral.
UAUUGUGUGAGGAGUGAAUAAGCGAAGAGGCCCUUGGAGUCGAAACACGGCAAGACGUCCAAGGGCCUUUUU